Molecule: long non-coding RNA, 347 nt
Organism: Stylophora pistillata
Lineage: Eukaryota; Metazoa; Cnidaria; Anthozoa; Scleractinia; Pocilloporidae
Source: RefSeq, a predicted model, not a curated record
AGAUCAAUGUUCUCCUGUUGUUAUUUUACCCUCUGGUACUGAUAGACGUAGGAAAUAUCAUCGGGCGUCUUUCCAUACUACAUUCAUUUUGAAUCGAACUGAUUUUAAUUGUUUCUCUGACAGGCUUCUCAGAGUGCUCCCGUCGAAGUAGUUUAUGAAAAAGAGGGAUUCUUGCAGAAGAAAGAAGGAAGCUGGAGAAAAAGGUGGUUCUUAUUGAAAGACAGACACCUAAAGUAUGCUAGAGGGCCGCAUGACAAGGACGAUCUUGUUACGAUUGACCUUAGAACAGUGACGUCACUGGUGAGAUCUCCUAAGGGAGAGCUGUUGCAACUGGACAUUGUUACUCU